CCUACGGGAGGCUGUAGUCGAGAAUCAUUCACAAUGGGGGAAACCCUGAUGGUGCGAAGCCGCGUGGGGGAAUGAAGGUCUUCGGAUUGUAAACCCCUGUCAUGUGGGAGCAAAUUAAAAAGAUAGUACCACAAGAGGAAGAGACGGCUAACUCUGUGCCAGCAGCCGCGGUAAUACAGAGGUCUCAAGCGUUGUUCGGAAUCACUGGGCGUAAAGCGUGCGUAGGCUGUUUCGUAAGUCGUGUGUGAAAGGCGCGGGCUCAACCCGCGGACAGCACAUGAUACUGCGAGACUAGAGUAAUGGAGGGGGAACCGGAAUUCUCGGUGUAGCAGUGAAAUGCGUAGAUAUCGAGAGGAACACUCGUGGCGAAGGCGGGUUACUGGACAGUAACUGACGCUGAGGCACGAAGGCCAGGGGAGCGAAAGGGAUUAGAUACCCCUGUAGUC
RNAcentral lists this ribosomal RNA (446 nucleotides) under uncultured bacterium. Its description in RNAcentral is "partial 16S ribosomal RNA". It matches the Rfam family "Bacterial small subunit ribosomal RNA", at positions 338 to 795 of the family's 1533-position model. The record is from RNAcentral.